GCACCAGGCUUCGCGGGAGCGCCGCGGCCGCGGGGAAGCGGUGGCCGCAGCCGCCUGGGGCGCCGGCCUGCUGGAUGCUCCACCAGGGGAUGUCCUCGGGCGGCGGAUUGGGCGAGAGCUGCCGGCAAGGCUGCGCCGGAGGCAGCAGCAAACUCCUCAUCUUCACUACAGGAUUCUGUCCAAGGCUCCACUUUCACUUGCCAGUCAUCAAAACCACUGCUCUCAGUGGUGACAACCUCCCCUGCAGGAAGACCUGUGAGCUCUGCUACCAACACAGCUUCUGAAGCUCAGUAGUGCUAUCACCUAUAUCUCCUUGAUCUGUCACAUGGGAGCAUGAAUGCUUCUAUCACUGCAUGUGACCAAAUACAAUGACUGGAGAUCUCUGGCACGUGGCUCUCUACAACCCACUGCCCUUUGCAGAACAGCUGAGCUAUGGCAGCAUUGUAAGCAGUUGGAAGGAGCAGUAAAGCUGUCACCUUGUCACUGCAGUGUGGCACAGACAAUGAAGAAUCUGCCUCUGAUUCUUUUUGACAAAGAAGGAGACAAGAGAGAGACAACCAACGACCACCUUGAUCCUCAAUCCCCUUCCUGUGUGAGCAGAUGACAGUGACGUUUCCUGCAUGUUGUGGCUGAGUGGAAGAAAAGUUAGGGGUACCUGAAACACUGAACACUUCUGUGAAAAUGCCUAAGAGCCCUCAGGGUAUCAGCCAUAGCUCGAAAAUACCUUAUAAAAUAAAGUAUCCUUUAACCUAGUCAAAUCAAUACCUGUCAUAAACACCACAUUUCCUUUGAAAGUCUGUAUCAAUGUAUUUUUAGCUUGUCAGCAACCUUUCCAAGUACUAAGUG
Long non-coding RNA from Calypte anna (Anna's hummingbird), 846 nucleotides. RefSeq lists it as uncharacterized. The transcript is spliced from 4 exons. Lineage: Eukaryota; Metazoa; Chordata; Aves; Apodiformes; Trochilidae. The record is from RefSeq and is a predicted model, not a curated record.